UGGGGAAUAUUGCACAAUGGGCGCAAGCCUGAUGCAGCAACGCCGCGUGAGGGAAGACGGUUUUCGGAUUGUAAACCUCUGUCUUUGGUGACGAAGAAGUGACGGUAGCCAAGGAGGAAGCCACGGCUAACUACGUGCCAGCAGCCGCGGUAAUACGUAGGUGGCAAGCGUUAUCCGGAAUUACUGGGUGUAAAGGGAGCGCAGGCGGGAUAGCAAGUCAGCUGUGAAAACUAUGGGCUCAACCCAUAAACUGCAGUUGAAACUGUUAUUCUUGAGUGGAGUAGAGGCAAGCGGAAUUCCGAGUGUAGCGGUGAAAUGCGUAGAUAUUCGGAGGAACACCAGUGGCGAAGGCGGCUUGCUGGGCUCUAACUGACGCUGAGGCUCGAAAGUGUGGGGAGCAAACAGGAUUAGAUACCCUGGUAGU
This 424-nucleotide ribosomal RNA is filed under the name uncultured Eubacterium sp. Its description in RNAcentral is "bacterial SSU rRNA". It matches the Rfam family "Bacterial small subunit ribosomal RNA", at positions 355 to 794 of the family's 1533-position model. Lineage: Bacteria; Bacillati; Bacillota; Clostridia; Eubacteriales; Eubacteriaceae. The record is from RNAcentral.